Molecule: ribosomal RNA, 482 nt
Filed under: uncultured soil bacterium
Lineage: Bacteria
Description: bacterial SSU rRNA
Rfam family: Bacterial small subunit ribosomal RNA
Source: RNAcentral
AGGACUAACGCUGGCGGCGUGCCUAAUGCAUGCAAGUCGGACGCAUAUCUUCUUCGGAAGGUGUGAGUGGCAGACGGGUGAGGAACACGCGGACGACCUGCCCCGGGGCGGGGGAUACCCCGUGGAAACACGGGAUAAGCCCGCGUACGCUCCCCUCCUUGGAUGGGGGGAGGAAAGAGUCGCAAGGCUCGCCCUGGGAGGGUCUGCGGCCCAUCAGCUGGACGGCGGGUAACGGCCCACCGUGGCGACGACGGUCGCCGGUCUGAGAGGACGGCCGGCCACACGGGGACUGGGAGACGGCCCCGACUCCUACGGGAGGCAGCAGCAAGGGAUUUCCGCAAUGGGGGCAACCCUGACGGAGCGACGCCGCGUGCGGGAGGACGUCCUUCGGGAGUGUAACGACUUUCCGGGGGGUAGGAGGACGGACGGUACCCCCGGAACGGAAGGACCCGGGCCUAACGUACGUCGCCGACGCAGCCGCC